UAUUUUCUAAUUAAAGUCUGUCACUCAUUUCAUAAUCAGCAGCGCGUAGUCCAUGAUCUGUGUCAAGAGCAAAUAUUUGUUAGUGCAAUAAAGCGGCAAGAAAACACCUUCGAGUUGCAGCGGAGAAUAUUUACAGGUUGCAACCUCGACUCGUCAGAAGAACGAAAAUAUUUCAUAACAUUUGAUCCUGACUGCCACCAAAUAUACUCACUUUAUUUCUGACGGGAUAUUAGCACGUGAGCAGCGGAAUUGUCAUUUACAUUGAAACCGUCGGAAUAUCUCGUCUUGGUUAUCCAAGGACUUAUUGAAAUAUGGUUUUCAUACCGUGGUUAAACUCAAAUAAACAAUGCUUAACCGUGAACUUUUUCUUCGUUAAUAAAACAGAUUAUUAUUACAAUAUGUA
Long non-coding RNA from Amblyraja radiata (thorny skate), 403 nucleotides. RefSeq lists it as uncharacterized. The transcript is spliced from 2 exons. The record is from RefSeq and is a predicted model, not a curated record. NCBI's taxonomy places the organism in Eukaryota, Metazoa, Chordata, Chondrichthyes, Rajiformes, Rajidae.